Molecule: unclassified non-coding RNA, 246 nt
Filed under: Colacogloea philyla
Lineage: Eukaryota; Fungi; Basidiomycota; Microbotryomycetes; Colacogloeaceae
Description: partial internal transcribed spacer region
Rfam family: Eukaryotic small subunit ribosomal RNA (bases 1-46)
Source: RNAcentral
AAGUCGUAACAAGGUUUCCGUAGGUGAACCUGCGGAAGGAUCAUUAAUGAAUAUUAGGGUGCUCUUUUCAUCAAAGAGGCCUGACCUUCAUUUUCUACCCUGUGCACCAUAAACUUAUUCAGCAGUUGGUAGUUUGGCCUCUAGGGGCCUUACGACUCUGCUGGAUUCAUUCUUAAACUCUUAAGUCUAAAGAAAGUAUAAAUCAUAAACAAAGAAAAACUUUCAACAACGGAUCUCUUGGCUCUC